Molecule: ribosomal RNA, 449 nt
Filed under: uncultured bacterium
Lineage: Bacteria
Description: bacterial SSU rRNA
Rfam family: Bacterial small subunit ribosomal RNA
Source: RNAcentral
UGCCAGACUCCUACGGGAGGCAGCAGUGGGGAAUAUUGCACAAUGGGGGAAACCCUGAUGCAGCGACGCCGCGUGAGUGAAGAAGUAUUUCGGUAUGUAAAGCUCUAUCAGCAGGGAAGAAGAAGGACGGUACCUGAGUAAGAAGCCCCGGCUAACUACGUGCCAGCAGCCGCGGUAAUACGUAGGGGGCAAGCGUUAUCCGGAUUUACUGGGUGUAAAGGGAGCGUAGACGGCAGUGCAAGUCUGGAGUGAAAGGCGGGGGCUCAACCCCGGGGCUGCAUUGGAAACUGGCAGGCUGGAGUGCCGGAGAGGCAGGCGGAAUUCCUAGUGUAGCGGUGAAAUGCGUAGAUAUUAGGAGGAACACCAGUGGCGAAGGCGGCCUGCUGGACGGUGACUGACGCUGAGGCUCGAAAGCGUGGGGAGCAAACAGGAUUAGAUACCCUCGUAAC